UACGUAGGGGGCUAGCGUUGUCCGGAAUCAUUGGGCGUAAAGAGCUCGUAGGCGGUUUGUCGCGUCUGCUGUGAAAACCUAAGGCUCAACCUUGGGCUUGCAGUGGGUACGGGCAGACUAGAGUGCGGUAGGGGUGACUGGAAUUCCUGGUGUAGCGGUGGAAUGCGCAGAUAUCAGGAGGAACACCGAUGGCGAAGGCAGGUCUCUGGGCCACUACUGACGCUGAGAAGCGAAAGCAUGGGGAGCGAACAGG
RNAcentral lists this ribosomal RNA (253 nucleotides) under uncultured bacterium. RNAcentral's name for it is "partial 16S ribosomal RNA". It matches the Rfam family "Bacterial small subunit ribosomal RNA", at positions 524 to 776 of the family's 1533-position model. The record is from RNAcentral.